GUAUAAAGAAGUAAACUUUACAGCUAAUUUCGGCUUAGCCAAUAGAAAUAAUAUUCUCUUAUAUA
This 65-nucleotide transfer RNA is filed under the name Aleurochiton aceris. RNAcentral's name for it is "tRNA-Arg". The record is from RNAcentral. Lineage: Eukaryota; Metazoa; Arthropoda; Insecta; Hemiptera; Aleyrodidae.